GAUGAAGAACGCAGCGAAAUGCGAUAAGUAAUGCGAAUUGCAGAAUUCCAGUGAGUCAUCGAAUCUUUGAACGCACAUUGCGCCCUUUGGUAUUCCGAAGGGCAUGCCUGUUCGAGCGUCAUUAUCACCCCUCAAGCCCUCGGCUUGGUGUUGGACGGUUUGGUGGAGGCCCCCUCGGGGGCUCCUGCCCCUCCCAAAGACAAUGACGGCGGCCUCGCUGGACCCCCGGUACACUGAGUUCUUCACGGGACACGUAUCGGACACAUGGGUUUACGGGACACGGUCUGCCUCCCCUCAGGGAGAAUCUUUCUAAGGUUGACCUCGGAUCAGGUAGGGAUACCCGCUGAACUUAAGCAUAUCAAUAAGCGGAGGA
This 373-nucleotide unclassified non-coding RNA is filed under the name soil metagenome. RNAcentral's name for it is "partial contains 5.8S ribosomal RNA, internal transcribed spacer 2, and large subunit ribosomal RNA". The stretch from base 1 to 121 matches the Rfam family "5.8S ribosomal RNA", at positions 35 to 154 of the family's 154-position model. The record is from RNAcentral.